RNAcentral lists this ribosomal RNA (465 nucleotides) under Vreelandella stevensii. RNAcentral's name for it is "partial 16S ribosomal RNA". It matches the Rfam family "Bacterial small subunit ribosomal RNA", at positions 338 to 795 of the family's 1533-position model. Lineage: Bacteria; Pseudomonadati; Pseudomonadota; Gammaproteobacteria; Oceanospirillales; Halomonadaceae. The record is from RNAcentral.
CCUACGGGAGGCUGCAGUGGGUAAUAUUGGACAAUGGGGGCAACCCUGAUCCAGCCAUGCCGCGUGUGUGAAGAAGGCCCUCGGGUUGUAAAGCACUUUCAGUGAGGAAGAACGCCUGGUGGUUAAUACCCAUCAGGAAAGACAUCACUCACAGAAGAAGCACCGGCUAACUCCGUGCCAGCAGCCGCGGUAAUACGGAGGGUGCGAGCGUUAAUCGGAAUUACUGGGCGUAAAGCGCGCGUAGGUGGCUUGAUAAGCCGGUUGUGAAAGCCCCGGGCUCAACCUGGGAACGGCAUCCGGAACUGUCAAGCUAGAGUGCAGGAGAGGAAGGUAGAAUUCCCGGUGUAGCGGUGAAAUGCGUAGAGAUCGGGAGGAAUACCAGUGGCGAAGGCGGCCUUCUGGACUGACACUGACACUGAGGUGCGAAAGCGUGGGUAGCAAACAGGAUUAGAUACCCUUGUAGUC